Molecule: long non-coding RNA, 371 nt
Organism: Lagopus leucura (white-tailed ptarmigan)
Lineage: Eukaryota; Metazoa; Chordata; Aves; Galliformes; Phasianidae
Exons: 2
Source: RefSeq, a predicted model, not a curated record
CCGCGGGCCGCCUCACGGAGGGCGGGCCUUCCCGCGGAGCCGCGUCCUAUUGGGUGUUCUCCUCGCGACGGCGGCGGGAGGAGCCAAUGGGAGGAGAGGAAAAGCCGCCGAGGGUGGGCGCGGAGGUGGCCUUGAGGCGAGGGAACUUGAACCUCAGUGGCUGCAAAGUGGCAUUGCUGAGCUCAGUUAAUAAGCCUUGCCCUCGCUGAGCUCUCGGGGUUGUGCCAAAGAAGCAUUAAAAGAUUUGAAUCUAUUAAUACAAGAUGUCCCAUUUACUUCUGCUGUGGAAUAACGAGGAAUGAUGACUCACUGGAGCUCCGUGAUCCCCCAUGGUUUUACAUGGUAAAUAGAGAAAUCAUUCUUAGCAGGAA